Molecule: ribosomal RNA, 484 nt
Filed under: uncultured bacterium
Lineage: Bacteria
Description: partial 16S ribosomal RNA
Rfam family: Bacterial small subunit ribosomal RNA
Source: RNAcentral
AUUGAACGCUGGCGGCAUGCUUUACACAUGCAAGUCGAACGGCAGCGCGGGCUUCGGCCUGGCGGCGAGUGGCGAACGGGUGAGUAAUGCAUCGGAACGUGCCCAGUAGUGGGGGAUAGCCCGGCGAAAGCCGGAUUAAUACCGCAUACGACCUGAGGGUGAAAGCGGGGGACCGAAAGGCCUCGCGCUAUUGGAGCGGCCGAUGUCGGAUUAGCUAGUUGGUGGGGUAAAGGCUUACCAAGGCGACGAUCCGUAGCUGGUCUGAGAGGACGACCAGCCACACUGGGACUGAGACACGGCCCCGACUCCUACGGGAGGCAGCAGUGGGGAAUUUUGGACAAUGGGAGCAACCCUGAUCCAGCCAUGCCGCGUGCGGGAAGAAGGCCUUCGGGUUGUUAACCGCUUUUGUUCGGGAAGAAAUCCUCUGGGCUAAUACCCCGGGGGGAUGACGGUACCGGAAGAAUAAGCACCGGCUAACUACGUG